Molecule: ribosomal RNA, 784 nt
Filed under: uncultured Rhodobacterales bacterium
Lineage: Bacteria; Pseudomonadati; Pseudomonadota; Alphaproteobacteria; Rhodobacterales
Description: SSU rRNA
Rfam family: Bacterial small subunit ribosomal RNA
Source: RNAcentral
GCCUAACACAUGCAAGUCGAGCGCGCCUUCGGGCGAGCGGCGGACGGGUUAGUAACGCGUGGGAACGUGCCCAGAUCUACGGAAUAGCCACUGGAAACGGUGAGUAAUACCGUAUACGCCCUUCGGGGGAAAGAUUUAUCGGAUUUGGAUCGGCCCGCGUUAGAUUAGGUAGUUGGUGGGGUAACGGCCUACCAAGCCUACGAUCUAUAGCUGGUUUUAGAGGAUGAUCAGCAACACUGGGACUGAGACACGGCCCAGACUCCUACGGGAGGCAGCAGUGGGGAAUCUUGGACAAUGGGGGCAACCCUGAUCCAGCCAUGCCGCGUGAGUGAAGAAGGCCCUAGGGUCGUAAAACUCUUUCGCCUGUGAUGAUAAUGACAGUAGCAGGUAAAGAAACCCCGGCUAACUCCGUGCCAGCAGCCGCGGUAAUACGGAGGGGGUUAGCGUUGUUCGGAAUUACUGGGCGUAAAGCGCACGUAGGCGGAUUAGAAAGUUAGAGGUGAAAUCCCGGGGCUCAACCCCGGAACUGCCUUUAAAACUACUAGUCUAGAGUUCGAGAGAGGUGAGUGGAAUUCCGAGUGUAGAGGUGAAAUUCGUAGAUAUUCGGAGGAACACCAGUGGCGAAGGCGGCUCACUGGCUCGAUACUGACGCUGAGGUGCGAAAGUGUGGGGAGCAAACAGGAUUAGAUACCCUGGUAGUCCACACCGUAAACGAUGAAUGCCAGUCGUCGGGUAGUAUACUAUUCGGUGACACACCUAACGGANUAAGCAUUCCGCCNGGGGA